Molecule: ribosomal RNA, 376 nt
Filed under: uncultured Legionella sp.
Lineage: Bacteria; Pseudomonadati; Pseudomonadota; Gammaproteobacteria; Legionellales; Legionellaceae
Description: bacterial SSU rRNA
Rfam family: Bacterial small subunit ribosomal RNA
Source: RNAcentral
GUAGCUGGUCUGAGAGGAUGGCCAGCCACACUGGGACUGAGACACGGUCCAGACUCCUACGGGAGGCAGCAGUGGGGAAUAUUGGACAAUGGGGGCAACCCUGAUCCAGCAAUGCCGCGUGUGUGAAGAAGGCCUGAGGGUUGUAAAGCACUUUCAGUGGGGAGGAGGGUUGWUUGGUUAAGAGCUGAUUAAUUGGACGUUACCCACAGAAGAAGCACCGGCUAACUCCGUGCCAGCAGCCGCGGUAAUACGGAGGGUGCAAGCGUUAAUCGGAAUUACUGGGCGUAAAGGGUGCGUAGGUGGUUUAAUAAGUUAUCUGUGAAAUUCCUGGGCUUAACCUGGGCAGGUCAKAUAAGACUGUUAGACUCGAGUAUGG